Long non-coding RNA from Equus caballus (horse), 3999 nucleotides. RefSeq lists it as uncharacterized. The record is from RefSeq and is a predicted model, not a curated record. NCBI's taxonomy places the organism in Eukaryota, Metazoa, Chordata, Mammalia, Perissodactyla, Equidae.
AUUAAUAAACAUGUAUACAACACUUUACCCAUCAAAUAGAGAAUUUAACUAUACUCUUCAUCUUAUAAACACUUUUCCAGAGAAAAGGAAGCAAAGGAAAAUUCCCCAAGUCAAUUCAUGAAGUUAUCCUCACUUUGAUAGCAAAACAAGACAAAAACAGUCCCUGAAAGGAUAAUAGAAGGCAAAGUCUCCUUUAUUAUCAUAAAUGCAAGUUUCAUAAAAUAUGAGGAAACUGAACCUAGCCAUUUAUUUAUUUUUUAAAUCUAUCAUGAUCAAGGAGAGUUUACUCCAGAAAUUCAGGGAUAGCGUAACAUUAAGACAUAUGUAAUGUAAUUUACCACAUUAAUAGAUUCAAGGAGAAAAAUUAAAUAAGUAUCUCAAUAGAUGCUGAGAAGGCAUUUGACAAAAAUUCAACUACUCUUUGUACUUAGCAAACUAUAAAAGAAAGAGAAGUUCCUUAACUUGAUUAGGACACUCCAACAUAUGUAUACAGUGCACACCACACUUACAGCCUUAGAAUUUUUUUCUUUAAAGUCAGAAAUAUGGCAGAGAUACCCACUAUUGUUGUUUCUAUUCAUCAUUGUACUGGAGGUCUUAGGCAAUACACAGAGGCAAGAAAAGGAAAUAGGAAGAGUUAGGAUCAGAUUGGGAGAAACAAAAUGUUCUCUCUGCAGACAAGCUAUUAGAACAAUUAUGUGAGAUACCUCGCAAAUUAUGAGAUAAUAUCAGGACAUCUAUUUGAGGGUGAGGAGAAGAGAGCAGUUUUCAGGAGGUGGGUUUCCUUGUGCAGGCGCCUAACGGCCUGAACACUCCCCCUUCCUGCUGUUCCUGCUCCAGAUCUGGGUUUAGUGUGCUUACUCUAUGCAAUGUGUCAUUUUCUGUGAUAGGUUCUUUAUUUGGUCUGAUUCCCUACAUUGCCCACUGAACUGUAGCUUUCCUUAACACUUCUCUCUGUUCUUCUCCUUACAGAAGUGUAGUGUAAUAGCGGCGGGGCUACCGGAGGGGUUUUGAGGCACCAUCAAAUAGCAGAAUUUCGCGUUCCAGCUAAUCCAUACUUUCAGUCAACACACGGAAGGAUUUUAGUUCUCUAUAUUCUUCAGUGAAUAGAAUUUUACCGAACUUAAUAGGAAACAAUAUUUUUAUGAUUCCCUUGCAGUGAAAAGAACAAAGGCAUUUAAAGCCUUCCCCCAUGAUCUGAAAGUACAACGUUCCUAUGAAACCUUUCGUAAGCCGAAAUGGCGUAAAGCGAAGAAGCAAUUACCACUAAUUUACAUUGGAAAAAUUUUUGAGCGUUCCCAGAUCCGAAAAAUAACCUACCAAAAUCAAUCAAGAUAAAGCAAGAUGCUCACAGACACGGUUCAAAGCCAUGGCGGCUUGACGCUGAGAUGCUCAGUGUAGCCCCGGGGAAGGAGCCUGGCGGCGCUGCGCUUGGUGUCGGACUGCGCGUUGCCUUAUAAAGGGUCGCUGCAAACAAACGCUGAACGCUGUUUUGGCUUUUCACCUUUUAUUGUAAAAGCGAAAAUACUCUUCGGAUUCUUUUCGGUUAGCGAAAACAGGUACGAAUGUAGGUCUUCCGUGAAACAAAGUGGCGUAAAGCGAACUGUGGAUAGUGGGGGAAACGGUCACAGCACGUUAUUAUCCUACUGUGAAGCUUCAGGCAAAGACCCAGAGGGAGAAAGCUGUUCGCUCUGAUAGCUGCACUGAUCGAAUGGCUGUCACAGCUGGGGUAAUCCGCAGGGGGUAAAACAACACUGUCCCAGGAGGAAGAAGAAGUAAGUAGGUAUUAAAGAACACUGGAUUCCAAUUACCACAGACUGAGGUGACUCACAGAGUGGCAAGAUUUCUUUCCACCUCUUGAGAGUGAUUUUAUCCUUUUCCUCUUAGAUUUUCUUAUCUUCUUGGUGGCCUUGGGAAUAUGUGCCUCUGCCAAGUAGCCUUCAGAAGCUUGUAAGCAAAUAACAUACCCAACAUUUACAAAGUGUCUUACAGUUUCCAAAGCAGCUUCACAUAUAUCAUCUCAUGAGACACUCCCAGGCUCCCUGAGAGGGAGGCGUGGUGUCAUUCCCACUUGGUAACGAUAAUGACUUUCAGAAAAGUUAAAUGACUUUCCUCAAAGUCAUGUAGUUCUUUUAGUGGCAGGGCCUAGAUUCAAGCCAGUAGGCUGUCUGAUUCCAAAUUCAGUGUUCUCUUAGCCACGUAUUGGAACUUAGAGAAUGAUAUACUGAGUAGCAGUAAAUAAGAUAUUAGAAGCCAUCUGUCUGUAGGUAACAGCUUUUCUGGGAGCCCAAGUCCCUGCCAAGGACAGAAGUACAGAAAACUGUCUUUGGGGGCCAUUUCAUGGACGUCACCUGCGGCAAAGGGCUCUAGUUGGGUCUCUUGAAUUACAGUCUUCUCCACCAUGUUUGGAAUCUUGGAAAAUUUAUCAAACCUCUCUGGCCUCAGUUUUUCUAUGCAUUAAAUUCAGCUAAUAAUAAUUAUCCUAGUGACAUCAAGAUUUCUGUGAGAAUAAAGUAAAUAAUAAACAAUAUCUCAGGAAACCUAAAUUGCAGUAUGAAAGUGAGAAAAGUAUUAUCCUUGUCAAUAAUCAUGUAAUAAACAACACAGCAAGCUUUGGUUUCAGUUAACAUUUGAUGUAUGUCCAUGGGCCCCCAGGUAAAUACUGAAGGAGUUGACUGGUAUGGUACACACUUAUUUUUCUAAUUUGAAAAGACACUAAGACGUAUCAGUAUAAAAAUCAUCCAUAUUUCUGAUAUUGAAAAUUGAUGUAAAGUAAGAAUUCAAAGUCUCCUUCCCUACUGUCCACUCCACCUUCCCCGUUGCCUCUUAGUCAGCCCCCAGAGUUAAUCACUGUUGGCAGCUUCUUGUUUCUUUCCUUUGGUUCCUUGAUUUUCGUGAAUUGUGCUACCCUGAGAAAUAACAUUGGUAUGCAAAUAGUGACCACACCUUAGAAUUACACAGGGCUUUAUAGUUAAUGAAAUACUUGCUGGCAUACUGUCUUCUUUGAGCCUCCUAGGAGUCCUUGAGACGUGCUCAUUAUGGCCUCCAUUUUGUAGUUCAGGUAGGCAAGUAUGAAGAUCAUUUACUGAGUGUGCACUAGGAGCCGGAUAAUGGGCAGGCCACGGGAAAUCAAAGCCACGAGUCCCAGAGGAGUCAUAGUGUAGUGAGGGAGAUAAAAAUGAUAUGUAUCUACAUCUCCACGACACAGAUCUGUCCAAAGGACAGGAAGACCAUAGAAGGAGUAAACUAAUUCUGUCUGGGCCAGGUUGAAAAAAGGGCGACGGAAUAUUUCAUACAGGCGGUUACAAUGAAGUACAAUUUUGAGUGAUAUGAAAACCCAGAGAAGCAGUGUUUACUCAAGGUCAAACCACUAGAAAUGACUCAAACUCAUAUAUGGUGCCUCCAAGCCCAAGGUUCUCUCUCUGUACUCUGCCGUGCAGUUUGUGGUUUGCCCAUUCAAAGCAGGCAUGUGUCGUGUAAUGUUUAACCAGAGUUAAAGGAAUCGCUCGGCUUCAAAGAUAGUUAGCACAGCUGGUGGAGAAAUGUGAUUGCCUGAAUGGAUUCUAAAGUUCAUGGGAUCACCAGUCACUGUGAGAUUAACCUGCAUUUAUCAGGGUGUGGAUGGUGCAAAACAGGGAAUAGUGUGAACUCUGGAAAGUUCUCCAAAGCCUGCUUGGAUGCUUCCACUGAUGGAGAACUCAGCCCCUGGAUCAGCCAAGCAAAGAUCCCACCCAUCUACAUUCUCAGGAGGGGCAUUCAAGAAAAAUAGGGUACGUGGGAGAAGAUAGAAGAUGGGGAAGUCAACCUCUGCUUAAUCUCUUCAGCCUAGAGAUAACACUCCUCACUUCUGCUCAUAUUCCACUGAUAUGAGCCAGUUUCUUGGAGCCACCUAGGUGACAGAUGAAGGAGGAACUGGGAAGUGUGGUUCAUAUCUGGUGGCCACUUUUCAGAUCCAAGGAGAUUUUGUGCCUGAUGAUUUAAUAAAAUGUAUGUUGAGCAAGU